This is a long non-coding RNA of Osmia bicornis bicornis, 336 nucleotides long. RefSeq lists it as uncharacterized. Lineage: Eukaryota; Metazoa; Arthropoda; Insecta; Hymenoptera; Megachilidae. The record is from RefSeq and is a predicted model, not a curated record. The transcript is spliced from 3 exons.
ACAACACCUGAAGUCAGCGAAGGAUUUUCGAAGAAAGGAUUCCCGAGAAGAGGUUUUUUGGAGCGAAGCGAGCGUAUAUUCAAGAAAGCAUUACCUACCAGGACAAAUGGACUGCAAAUAUGCUGUCUGAUCACGUAUAAUCGGCAAGUAUAAUCUUACAUAAUUAAUAUUACGUUAUCUAUACAUAAAUAACUUUCUUCACAGAUGGACGAGGAAGAAGAAGAAGAACAGAAAGAGGAAAUGAAAAAGAAAGAGGAUAGAAGAAACAGGAGAAAGAGGUAUAAGGAACGAAGUCGGAUAAAAGGGAAGAGAAAGGAGAAUCCGAGGCCGUCAGCG